Molecule: long non-coding RNA, 653 nt
Organism: Astatotilapia calliptera (eastern happy)
Lineage: Eukaryota; Metazoa; Chordata; Actinopteri; Cichliformes; Cichlidae
Source: Ensembl
GGACAGAUCAAAGGCCUUUGCAACGUCACAUCAAAGGCCUUUGCAACGUCACAACAAAGGUGCUUCGAAGGAGCUCCCAAAUAGCAUAAAUAGAGCCUUGGCGACACUCUACACCAGUGCACUCCAAAGUUGGUUUGCACAACUGAAGAAUUGCGGGCUGAAAAAGAAGCCACAAAAAAGGAGAAAAAAUGCGUCAGGUUUGCAACGCUCCCAUCACUCCACAACGGCUGGGAGCACACAAUCCGACCAACGACAGAGAGAGUGCGGGACGUACAAAGGGUAAGUCGGGAGUGGGGUGAGGCUGGCAGUAGUGAUCGGGUUGGUUUCUUCCGUUGUCAGCAACGGAGCAGCUCAGAACAAACAGCACCUAAAACGGAAUGCCUGUUUGUUAAUAAAUCAAAUAGGGUUGUGUCUGUAGCUAAAGACUCACCAGCUAAGAAUUUAAUCCCACCCCUGCCUCCUCUUCCUAUUAAACCGCAGAAAACACAGCGUGCCCCUAUUAUUAAAAAGCAACACGAGGUUGUUGCACCUUAUGCACCACGCAUGUUAGAGACGUGGGACAUAAACACAAAUAAAAAUGUACUUCCACCCCUACCUCCUCUUCCUAUUAAAACGCAGAAAACACAGCGUGCCCCUAUUAUUAAAAAGCAACA